RNAcentral lists this ribosomal RNA (393 nucleotides) under uncultured Sebacinaceae. RNAcentral describes it as "eukaryotic LSU rRNA". It matches the Rfam family "Eukaryotic large subunit ribosomal RNA", at positions 1 to 388 of the family's 3401-position model. The record is from RNAcentral. Lineage: Eukaryota; Fungi; Basidiomycota; Agaricomycetes; Sebacinales; Sebacinaceae.
UUGACCUCAAAUCGAGUAGGACUACCCGCUGAACUUAAGCAUAUCAAUAAGCGGAGGAAAAGAAACUAACAAGGAUUCCCCUAGUAACGGCGAGUGAAGAGGGAAGAGCUCAAAUUUUGAAUCUGGCGUCUUUGGCGUCCGAAUUGUAAUCUAGAGAAGUGUUUUCCGUGACGGACCGUGCACAAGUCUCCUGGAAUGGAGCGUCAUAGAGGGUGAGAAUCCCGUAUAUGGCAUGGACUGCCGUUGCUCUGUGAUACACUCUCGACGAGUCGAGUUGUUUGGGAAUGCAGCUCUAAAUGGGUGGUAAAUGCCAUCUAAAGCUAAAUAUUGGCGAGAGACCGAUAGCGAACAAGUACCGUGAGGGAAAGAUGAAAAGCACUUUGGAAAGAGAGU